UGGGGAAUAUUGGACAAUGGGCGCAAGCCUGAUCCAGCCAUGCCGCGUGGGUGAAGAAGGCCUUAGGGUUGUAAAGCCCUUUCACCGGUGAAGAUAAUGACGGUAGCCGGAGAAGAAGCCCCGGCCAACUCCGUGCCAGCAGCCGCGGUAAUACGGAGGGGGCUAGCGUUGUUCGGAAUUACUGGGCGUAAAGCGCACGUAGGCGGUUUUGCUAGUUGGAGGUGAAAGCCCAGGGCUUAACCCUGGAAUUGCCUUCAAAACUGCAAGACUCGAGUCCGGGAGAGGUGAGUGGAAUUCCCAGUGUAGAGGUGAAAUUCGUAGAUAUUGGGAAGAACACCAGUGGCGAAGGCGGCUCACUGGCCCGGUGCUGACGCUGAGGUGCGAAAGCGUGGGGAGCAAACAGG
RNAcentral lists this ribosomal RNA (404 nucleotides) under uncultured bacterium. RNAcentral's name for it is "bacterial SSU rRNA". It matches the Rfam family "Bacterial small subunit ribosomal RNA", at positions 355 to 776 of the family's 1533-position model. The record is from RNAcentral.